This is a non-coding RNA of Punica granatum (pomegranate), 1722 nucleotides long. Lineage: Eukaryota; Viridiplantae; Streptophyta; Magnoliopsida; Myrtales; Lythraceae. The record is from RefSeq and is a predicted model, not a curated record.
CUAUGCAUUUGCAGAAAAGAAAGCGGAUGAACUCAGCUGAAACAACCGAAACCUAAUCUCCAGUCUCCUUCCUCUUCUCUCCGUCUCUUCUCUAAUCUGAGCAAUCUCCAUUCCGUUUCUCGAUUUCUCUCAACCCCGUCGUCUCUGAGACUCCAACUCUCUCGUCUUCAUCUGCUCUCCCUCUCGCUCUCUGUUUUCGUCUCCAACUCUUUAGGGGCUCCCAUUCGUCUCCGUCUCUCUGCCAAGGAAAAGUUCAAUACUUUGAGGGAAGCUGUUGUCUGUUUUGUGACAAAGUUUUUGUCUAUGUGUUCUCUGUUUUGACGAGAGAGAGAGAGCGAGAGAGAAGGAAGGGCAAGUUCAGAGGGAGAGAGAUAUAGAGCUGCUAUUGUUCUGUCUUCUGCUGUCGUGUAAGGGAGAGCCUGAGCAGAGAGGAAGGAGGAGAAGCUGAGAGUGAGAUUGAUGGAAUGGUUGCUGUGCACAAGAAGAAGAAGCAAAGGAUGAGAAUCUGUCAAUUCUCCUAUAAAUUCUGCACAAGAACUGCUUGAUGAAAUGUUUAUUUUAAUAUGGCUAAACAAGUUUUCAGUUUUUAUUAAUUUUGGAUGUAAGGAUUGCUCUAAAUAUUAUCCUGUAAUCCGGGUUAUUAGUUAUUACUGAAACUCCAGAUGACCCUUUUAAGUGUUCUAGAGCUGUAUAUCUGAAGUGUCAUGGACAUUCUGAGAAUUUCUUGUUGAACUCAGUUGUUUUGUAUCAAUGCAUCUUUGUUGAUUCAAGAAACGAUAUUAUUGUCAUUCGAUGAUCACUAAAAUUGAGAUUGCAAAAUGUGGGCGAGGGAAGGUCAGGAGCUCCUUUGAUGAGCCUUGCUUUCACUGAUCGACAAGAGGAUGAAAGAGCACACUGAUGAAGUGCUUCAUGCUGUCAAGUGUCCAUGGUGUAAGCGCACAGCUCACUCAACUUGAGAGCAAGACGCGUCGAAUGGAGAGCAAGACGCGUCGAAUGGAGAAUGCAGUCGAUGAUCACAAGGAAUCUCUUAACUAUUACCAUGGAAGGGCCUAUGGGAAAUUGCGGGAGCUUGAGCAUCUGUUAAGAAAGUUCUUCUCUUCUUUCUUUCUCGACAACAGACAAAGACUCAGUCAGAGAGAGAACUCAGAGACGACUCAGACGAGACGGAGACGACCUCGAGCCCUCAACCACUCCAGGCGCCACGGCGAUCCCACCCCGACGUGACGCUGGCGCCACUGUGAUCUCACCCCGACGGUCGUGGCCCUCCCGUACCCUCUGAAGGCUGAAGCACAGACGACUUCCGACUCCGUCCCUCUGGUCUCGCUCACGCUCCGACGCUCCUCCAUCCUUCGCUGCUCUCCAAUCCGAGUCUCUGACGUAAUUGUCAAUUGAAGUCCGAUUGAGUUCUCGAUUGUCAACGGAGCCCCUAACCUGAUUAAGUCUCUCUCUACUCUCAGUCCGUGUCCGAUUGCACAGUUGAUUGAAGUUCGUCCGCCUCCAGCCCUUGUCCACGACAUAUAUAAAGGUUGCUCAAGCUGUUUCUUCACGGCCGGAUUUGAUACCUCCUGAAUAUCUGGAUGAACUGUCGCUGUUGCAAGAUAAAAUAGCUCCAUUUUCUACUGAGGUUGCUUACAUACAAUAGAAAAGGAGCUUAACUUGCCUAUUGAUGAGUUAUUUGCGGAGAUUUCACCAGAGCCUAUAGUAGCAGCAUCCCACGGACAG